CGGACGGGUGAGUAACACGUGGAUAACCUACCUAUAAGACUGGGAUAACUUCGGGAAACCGGAGCUAAUACCGGAUAAUAUAUUGAACCGCAUGGUUCAAUAGUGAAAGACGGUUUUGCUGUCACUUAUAGAUGGAUCCGCGUCGCAUUAGCUAGUUGGUAAGGUAACGGCUUACCAAGGCAGCGAUGCGUAGCCGACCUGAGAGGGUGAUCGGCCACACUGGAACUGAGACACGGUCCAGACUCCUACGGGAGGCAGCAGUC
Molecule: ribosomal RNA, 263 nt
Filed under: uncultured Staphylococcus sp.
Lineage: Bacteria; Bacillati; Bacillota; Bacilli; Caryophanales; Staphylococcaceae
Description: partial 16S ribosomal RNA
Rfam family: Bacterial small subunit ribosomal RNA
Source: RNAcentral